CUGUUCUUUAGGUCUGUCCAUUUCUAAAGAAAUUGCAUUGCUUUGGCGUACCACUAGAUGGUCCUGUAUACACUGUGGUUUUUCAGGUCACUCAUCAAGUGUAAGGUUGAUUUAUCCAGA
Molecule: long non-coding RNA, 120 nt
Organism: Etheostoma cragini (Arkansas darter)
Lineage: Eukaryota; Metazoa; Chordata; Actinopteri; Perciformes; Percidae
Exons: 3
Source: RefSeq, a predicted model, not a curated record